AGCAGCUCAUUCAUGUCCCUGAGAUACCCAGAGUGAUUUAUUUUAUUCACCCAUUUAGUAGCUGGCCUAUCUAUUACAAAUGCCAGCUCCGUUCUCGCAAACGAGGCUUUCCUUUGAGAGAAGCUGGAUGAGGUCGGACACUUGUCACGCGCCUGCAGCAAUCUGUGUACAUAUGGGCACACGGGCAGGAGCAGCACAGGCUUGUGGGAACAUGUUCCGGCCUGAGAAGAUUCUCUCUGCAGAUGUUCAUGGAUGGCUGCUCCCAGACACAAACAGCCCAGACAAGGAGGAAUGUGUGGAAGCAGAAGUUCAGCAUUCCCACUGUGUAAUGUGUCCUCUAAGACAAAGUCGAGUAGGGCCAUUAUGAGAGUAAUGGCUGUUUCUGUUAGAGAAGCUAUUGUACUGUACGGCUAUUGUAC
Gallus gallus (chicken) is the source of this 419-nucleotide long non-coding RNA. Lineage: Eukaryota; Metazoa; Chordata; Aves; Galliformes; Phasianidae. The record is from Ensembl.